AACGCGAAGAACCUUACCAAGACUUGACAUACAGUAGCAAAGGCUAGAAAUAGUCUCCUCCUUCGGGACUGCUGUACAGGUGGUGCAUGGUUGUCGUCAGCUCGUGUCGUGAGAUGUUCGGUUAAGUCCGGCAACGAGCGCAACCCCUAUUAUAUGUUGCCAAUAUUAAGUUAGGAACUCAUAUAAGACUGCCGUGGAUAACACGGAGGAAGGUGGGGACGACGUCAAAUCAUCAUGCCCCUUACGUCUUGGGCUACACACGUGCUACAAUGGAUGCUACAAAGAGCAGCGAAACAGUAAUGUCAAGCGAAUCUCAUAAAAACAUUCUCAGUUCGGAUUGAGGGCUGCAACUCGCCCUCAUGAAGUCGGAGUUGCUAGUAAUCCCGAAUCAGAACGUCGGGGUGAAUGCGUUCCCGGGUCUUGUACACACCG
Molecule: ribosomal RNA, 432 nt
Filed under: uncultured bacterium
Lineage: Bacteria
Description: bacterial SSU rRNA
Rfam family: Bacterial small subunit ribosomal RNA
Source: RNAcentral